RNAcentral lists this long non-coding RNA (973 nucleotides) under Homo sapiens (human). RNAcentral describes it as "HSALNT0005913". Lineage: Eukaryota; Metazoa; Chordata; Mammalia; Primates; Hominidae. The record is from RNAcentral.
GCCACAAUGCGAAGCUAAUUAAUUUUUUUUUUGUAUUGUAAUUUUUUUUGUAUUUUUUAGUAGAGACAGGGUUUCUCCAUGUUGGCCAGGCUGGUCUCAAACUCUUGAGUUCAAGUGAUCCACCCGCCUCAGCCUAGUGCUGAGAUUACAGGCAUGAGCCACCAUGCCCGGCCCAGUCUUAACUUUUCUUAAUAACAGACCCAUAGCAAAGACAUAGGAACUGCCUUUCACCAGGAGUGUCAGCCUUUGAUACUGCUGGGGUGCCAAGAGCACCAUGCUUCCAAUUCCUCCACCUGUUACUCUCACAAGCAUCACACCGAGACAUUUCUGCUCCCCUGCCGGCCAGCCCUGGAGACGGAGAGUCCUGGCAGUGACAGACUGGCCAGGCUUGGAAAGGGCCCCUCCUCCACUCAGCAGUGGCUUUAUUGCUUGCUCAAGGCCACUGCUUUUCCCAGGAUCUCCUGGAGUCCCUCCAUUUUUUCCUGAAUCCUUUAUAGCUGUGAAGGACUCACACUUCAUGGGCCUAGGACCAAAUUCAAGACAGGCACUGGGGGCUUCCCAAUCCCCUUUUCCCCAGACACAGGUCCCCUGAAAUAUUCUCCAGGCCAGGGCAGGCAGUCCGGCUGGAGGUGGUCUCCAAAUCAACACAGCCCGCACUCCCCAUCCAUGCUAGAGAAGAGCUGGGCGCCUUCUCUGAAUCCCGUAGCCAUUCUUCUGUCCUAACCGCCCUCUUUCGGACUGCAUGGAAUCAUGUUUGUUCUGGAAAACAGAGGAGCAGAAACAGGAGGUCUUCAUUUGGAUUAUUUGGAUUCCAAGCACAAGGUCUUCUCUCAUGUCCCCACUUGAACCUUCUCUGGGUCUCGCCGGCUUAUCAUGUCGCCUGGUGAGUGGACUGCGCCGGGCUGGGCCUGCUCCUCCUGACAGCCUUGAGGACUGUCCCGGCAUGUUGCUGCAUCCCAAAUAAACAAAAUUC